CGAAUUCAUCUUUUAUUAUUGCCAAGAUUGAAUCCAGGUUGUCUUAAUAACAGAAAUCACUGCCCAAGGAAUGAUUAGUUCUAGAAUAUUUGUACUGAAUCACAACAAGGUAAAGUAAGGCCAAAGGAACUUUAGUUAAACUACUCUUGGCUCUUACUCUGUUUCUGUCUUUUUCCAAAGUUCUGUUUAUAAGACUUCCUAGAAAUGGAAUAGCACACACACCAUUUCACACACACACCCCUCCAACUAGGGAGGGAGGGCUUUUGGUCCAGAGCAGCGCCUGUACACAGUAAGAUGUCAUGUUCCUAUUUACGUCAUACUGUAUCCCUAUAAAGGCUGAAAGUUACCCCAUAUUGUUGGGAUUGUUGGGACUUCUGUGAAAUGAAGAUGAUUGUAAGUCCAGAAUAAACGAAUCCCCCUGCUGGUCACUGAAGAGAAGCUGUGGUGUCUGGUCUCGUCUGUCUGUUUUUUAAGGUUAAGUCCUCUCCCACAUAAUUGGCGCCCAACGUGGGGCAAAACAAGGGAGAGGAAAAAAAGGCUUUCCACAGCACCUACCUCCAGUGGCAAAACGGGACCCAUUGAGAAACAGAAAAGAGGAGUCCUGUUUUUCAGAAAUUGAGAUUCUGUCCGGUUCUGGCCACCCUUUUUCUGAUGGAAGACAUCAAAAAAAGACGAGAAGAACAGCUGUAAAUUGAGCAUGGAGAGACGGUAUGAUAAAUUAUAAAGUGAAAAUCAGACUUAUGUCAACCUCUGAUUUAAGCAAUCAAAUUUUCAAGUAACUUAAAUAGAUCUCUCUGGCAAAACGUUGUCAAAAGGUUAGUGUAAUAGUUGUUCGCGUAAACAUAUUAUUUAAGGUCACAUGGAUGCUUGUGAUCAUACCGGUAGGACAUAGAAAACUAAUAUUAUAACUUAAAUCUAGGUCUUACCUUUGAGGAAAGUAGGUUUCCAGGCAAUAACUUAGGAAAAAGGGAACUCAACUUUUAUUAAAAAGAAAUGGGAAUAACUACUGUUAUACGAACAAGAUGUGGAAGAUUAUUUAGCUAUUUCUGGGAACAGUUCCACAAACAUUGAUCAACAGAUAACUUCAUCUUAACAGUUGACCUCUGUUGGUAAACACAGGGUGUCAUGUUCUGGACUUUUGCUCCCUUUGCCUCGCUAGCGAGGACACACAGACCUUAGAUGUUUUCCCAACUUCUGUACAGAUAUUUCCUAAUCUCGGCAAAGAAAACUGAAAAUAAACAAUGUUAAACUAGUUAUUGAGUAGUAAAUUGGGUUACAUUGCUGAAACAAAAUUUUAAGUAUUUUAAAUAAGGUUACUUUUUCUCGAAACUGAAAUAUUAUCAUUAUUAAAAGAGAAGCAAACAUUAGCCUGAAUUAUCUUAAACUUGGAAGAGACCUGAAGUUUCAAUGUGACGUUCCUAUUAACUCUGCCAUAAUUCUACUUAAAAGGAAGAUAAAACCUAGGUACUUCUCUAUAAAAAGGAUGAGAAAGAAAAAGACGAGUUAUACGCUAUUUCAUAAAGAAUGUGUAAACAGGAAACGACAAGAGAAGGUAGAACAUAGCGUGAGUCCCGUCUGUCUCUGAGGAAUUUUCCUUUCAUUUCAUUUCUUUCUUUUUUUUUUGUGCUUAUGACUCUGGAUUAAACUCAUUACACCUGGCAAUGGUACGCAACUCUUAUUGCACGAUUAUCCAAACAGUUGGACAAGAUGUGGGAA
Molecule: long non-coding RNA, 1716 nt
Organism: Fundulus heteroclitus (mummichog)
Lineage: Eukaryota; Metazoa; Chordata; Actinopteri; Cyprinodontiformes; Fundulidae
Exons: 2
Source: RefSeq, a predicted model, not a curated record